UACGGAGGAUGCAAGCGUUAUCCGGAAUGAUUGGGCGUAAAGCGUCCGCAGGUGGCUAUGUAAGUCUGCUGUUAAAGAGUGAGGCUCAACCUCAUAAAAGCAGUGGAAACUACAUGGCUAGAGUGCGUUCGGGGCAGAGGGAAUUCCUGGUGUAGCGGUGAAAUGCGUAGAUAUCAGGAAGAACACCCGUGGCUAAGGCGGCUCUCUAGUACGGUACUGACGCUGAGACGCGAAAGCGUGGGGAGCGAACAGG
RNAcentral lists this ribosomal RNA (253 nucleotides) under uncultured bacterium. RNAcentral's name for it is "partial 16S ribosomal RNA". It matches the Rfam family "Bacterial small subunit ribosomal RNA", at positions 524 to 776 of the family's 1533-position model. The record is from RNAcentral.